Molecule: ribosomal RNA, 428 nt
Filed under: uncultured bacterium
Lineage: Bacteria
Description: partial 16S ribosomal RNA
Rfam family: Bacterial small subunit ribosomal RNA
Source: RNAcentral
GUGGGGAAUAUUGGGCAAUGGGCGCAAGCCUGACCCAGCAACGCCGCGUGAGGGAAGAAGGCUUUCGGGUUGUAAACCUCUGUCCUUGGUGACGAAACAAAUGACGGUAGCCAAGGAGGAAGCCCCGGCUAACUACGUGCCAGCAGCCGCGGUAAUACGUAGGGGGCGAGCGUUGUCCGGAAUUACUGGGCGUAAAGGGUGCGUAGGUGGCCUUUUAAGUUGGAUGUGAAAUACCCGGGCUUAACUUGGGGGGUGCAUCCAAAACUGGGAGGCUAGAGUGCAGGAGAGGAAAGCGGAAUUCCUAGUGUAGCGGUGAAAUGCGUAGAUAUUAGGAGGAACACCAGUGGCGAAGGCGGCUUUCUGGACUGUAACUGACACUGAGGCACGAAAGCGUGGGGAGCAAACAGGAUUAGAUACCCCGGUAGUCC